CAAUAGCGUAUAUUAAAGUUGUUGCAGUUAAAAAGCUCGUAGUUGGAUUUCGGGGCAGCCUGGCUGGUCCGCCGCAAGGCGAGUACUGGUCAGCCGCCCUUCCUCUCGAAAGCCCCGACUGCUCUUUAUUGCAGUGGUCGGGUAGUUCGGGACGUUUACUUUGAAAAAAUUAGAGUGUUCAAGGCAGGCCUACGCCUGAAUACAUUAGCAUGGAAUAAUGGAAGAGGACCUCGGUCCUAUUUUGUUGGUUUCCAGGACCGAAGUAAUGAUUAAGAGGGACAGUUGGGGGCAUUCGUAUUUAAUUGUCAGAGGUGAAAUUCUCGGAUUUAUGAAAGACGAACAACUGCGAAAGCAUUUGCCAAGGAUGUUUNCAUUAA
Molecule: ribosomal RNA, 377 nt
Filed under: uncultured eukaryote
Lineage: Eukaryota
Description: partial 18S ribosomal RNA
Rfam family: Eukaryotic small subunit ribosomal RNA
Source: RNAcentral